AUCUGCCCCCAGGAGGGGGAUAACGGUUGGAAACGACCGCUAAUACCCCAUAUGCCGAUAGGUGAAAUGAAUUUCGCCUGAGGAUGAGCCCGCGUCUGAUUAGCUAGUUGGUAAGGUAAAGGCUUACCAAGGCUUCGAUCAGUAGCUGGUCUGAGAGGAUGAUCAGCCACACUGGGACUGAGACACGGCCCAGACUCCUACGGGAGGCAGCAGUGGGGAAUUUUCCGCAAUGGGCGAAAGCCUGACGGAGCAACGCCGCGUGAGGGACGAAGGCCUCUGGGCUGUAAACCUCUUUUCUCAAGGAAGAAGAUAUGACGGUACUUGAGGAAUAAGCCACGGCUAAUUCCGUGCCAGCAGCCGCGGUAAUACGGGAGUGGCAAGCGUUAUCCGGAAUUAUUG
Molecule: ribosomal RNA, 399 nt
Filed under: uncultured Prochlorococcus sp.
Lineage: Bacteria; Bacillati; Cyanobacteriota; Cyanophyceae; Synechococcales; Prochlorococcaceae
Description: bacterial SSU rRNA
Rfam family: Bacterial small subunit ribosomal RNA
Source: RNAcentral